GGGCCCGUGGUAUAUCGGUAGAACGCCAGUAUGGCAUACUGGAAAGGGGGGUUCGACUCCCCCCGGGUCCACCA
This 74-nucleotide transfer RNA is filed under the name candidate division WWE3 bacterium CG_4_10_14_0_2_um_filter_42_7. RNAcentral's name for it is "tRNA-Ala". It matches the Rfam family "tRNA". Rfam says of the family: Transfer RNA (tRNA) molecules are approximately 80 nucleotides in length. Their secondary structure includes four short double-helical elements and three loops (D, anti-codon, and T loops). Further hydrogen bonds mediate the characteristic L-shaped molecular structure. tRNAs have two regions of fundamental functional importance: the anti-codon, which is responsible for specific mRNA codon recognition, and the 3' end, to which the tRNAs corresponding amino acid is attached (by aminoacyl-tRNA synthetases). tRNAs cope with the degeneracy of the genetic code in two manners: having more than one tRNA (with a specific anti-codon) for a particular amino acid; and 'wobble' base-pairing, i.e. permitting non-standard base-pairing at the 3rd anti-codon position. Lineage: Bacteria; candidate division WWE3. The record is from RNAcentral.